UGCUCAGGUGGGUUUGUAAGUCAGAGGUGAAAUCCCAAAGCUUAACUUUGGAGCUGCCUUUGAUACUGCAAGUCUGGAGUUUGAGAGAGGGCAAUGGAAUAUCUGGUGUAGCAGUGAAAUGCGUAGAUAUCAGAUAGAACACCAAUGGCGAAGGCAGUUGCCUGGCUCAAAACUGAGCUAAAGCAACGAAAGUGGUGGGGAGCAAACA
RNAcentral lists this ribosomal RNA (208 nucleotides) under uncultured bacterium. RNAcentral describes it as "partial 16S ribosomal RNA". It matches the Rfam family "Bacterial small subunit ribosomal RNA", at positions 568 to 774 of the family's 1533-position model. The record is from RNAcentral.